RNAcentral lists this ribosomal RNA (482 nucleotides) under uncultured Pseudomonadota bacterium. Its description in RNAcentral is "bacterial SSU rRNA". It matches the Rfam family "Bacterial small subunit ribosomal RNA", at positions 355 to 857 of the family's 1533-position model. The record is from RNAcentral. Lineage: Bacteria; Pseudomonadati; Pseudomonadota.
UGGGGAAUAUUGGACAAUGGGCGAAAGCCUGAUCCAGCAAUGCCGCGUGAGUGAUGAAGGCCUUAGGGUUGUAAAGCUCUUUUACCCGGGAUGAUAAUGACAGUACCGGGAGAAUAAGCUCCGGCUAACUCCGUGCCAGCAGCCGCGGUAAUACGGAGGGAGCUAGCGUUAUUCGGAAUUACUGGGCGUAAAGCGCACGUAGGCGGCUUUGUAAGUUAGAGGUGAAAGCCUGGAGCUCAACUCCAGAAUUGCCUUUAAGACUGCAUCGCUUGAAUCCAGGAGAGGUGAGUGGAAUUCCGAGUGUAGAGGUGAAAUUCGUAGAUAUUCGGAAGAACACCAGUGGCGAAGGCGGCUCACUGGACUGGUAUUGACGCUGAGGUGCGAAGCGUGGGGAGCAACAGGAUUAGAUACCCUGGUAGUCCACGCCGUAACGAUGAUAACUAGCUGUCGGGGCUCUUAGAGCUUCGGUGGCGCAGCUAACG